CCACAGCGAUGGUUGUCUGUGGGCAAGCGUGUAGGGCGUGGUGUAGGCAAAUCCGCACCAUCCACUUCAGUGUGGAGUCUGAGACGUGAUGCGGAGCCAUAUCUGGCGAAGUGGGUGAUCCUAUGCUGUCGAGAAAAACCUCUAGCGAGCAACGAGCCGCCCGUACCCCAAACCGACUCAGGUGAUCAAGUAGAGAAUACUAAGGCGAUCGAGACAACCAUGGUUAAGGAACUCGGCAAAAUGCCCCCGUAACUUCGGGAGAAGGGGGGCCGGAUCCGUGAACCCACUUGCUGGGGGAAGCGGUGAUGGCCGCAGAGAC
This 319-nucleotide ribosomal RNA is filed under the name Ditylum brightwellii. RNAcentral's name for it is "partial Bacterial large subunit ribosomal RNA". It matches the Rfam family "Bacterial large subunit ribosomal RNA", at positions 1490 to 1786 of the family's 2925-position model. The record is from RNAcentral. Lineage: Eukaryota; Bacillariophyta; Thalassiosirophyceae; Lithodesmiales; Lithodesmiaceae.